GAAGAAUCAUUAAUUUAUGCUUUUUUCCUUUUCCUUUUGUUUUGAACCCGCCCCCCUCCUCUCUCUCUCUCUCUCUGUGCGCGCGCGUCUCGUUUCUUCCCCAACUUUGGACUUUAGAUCUCUCAAAAGAGCCGCAUUGGUUUCAAUUCGCUUUCACAAAAAACGCAUACUUCAGCGGGAAAGGGUUUUUAUCCAUCAUGGUUUUAGUGGAUGCGAUAGACUCAAUGUUGGUGGGACGGGAUACCAUCUCAAGUGUUGGAACAUAAAUGUCUCGCCGUGUCCUAUCUUGGAACAUUUCCUAUCUCGAGUAUCAGGAUAGACGAGAAAACUAGAACAAUUCCAUCCCACAGGAUUUAAAACAUUCAAUGCAUCGUUGUCUGGGGAAACACCAUUUAUUUUCAUUUGGUUUUGCAAUGCUUCGAGCCUGCCUGGAAUGACUGGUUAGUUGGAGUCCCAAGACUAACCAGAACCCUCGAGCAAUCACAUUUUCCAAGUGGUGGUAUUGCAGCCUCUGGUUGGAACAGAACUAGUAUUUUGUGAAUUUACAGCGGAGCAGCCAAGCAAUCCGU
Molecule: long non-coding RNA, 569 nt
Filed under: Phoenix dactylifera (date palm)
Lineage: Eukaryota; Viridiplantae; Streptophyta; Magnoliopsida; Arecales; Arecaceae
Description: long non-coding RNA (PDAC_LNC021297)
Source: RNAcentral